RNAcentral lists this unclassified non-coding RNA (23 nucleotides) under Mus musculus (house mouse). RNAcentral's name for it is "oocyte_clustered_small_RNA7640". Lineage: Eukaryota; Metazoa; Chordata; Mammalia; Rodentia; Muridae. The record is from RNAcentral.
CUGAAGCAGAAGCUAUGGAGGGA